This 362-nucleotide unclassified non-coding RNA is filed under the name uncultured bacterium. RNAcentral describes it as "contains 16S-23S intergenic spacer region". The record is from RNAcentral.
UCCCUGUUACCAGGGCAGUCUGUUUAGAAAAAUUCAACUAAACAAAAGGGUUGCGCUCGUUGAUGGACUUAACCAAACAUCUCACGACACGAGCUGACGACGGCCAUGCAUCACCUGUCACUACGGCCCGAAGGCACUUUCUCCUUUCGGAGAAAUUAGUAGGAUGUCAAACCUGGGUAAGGUUCUUCGCUUAUCAUCGAAUUAAACAACACGCUCCACCGCUUGUGCGGGUCCCCGUCAAUUCCUUUAUGUUUUAAGCUUGCGCUCGUACUCCACAGGCGGGAUGCUUAACGCGUUAGCUUCGCUACUACCAGGGUCGAUACUGAUAACAGCUAGCAUCCAUCGUUUACGGCGUGGACUAC